This 459-nucleotide ribosomal RNA is filed under the name uncultured bacterium. RNAcentral's name for it is "bacterial SSU rRNA". It matches the Rfam family "Bacterial small subunit ribosomal RNA", at positions 29 to 531 of the family's 1533-position model. The record is from RNAcentral.
AACGAACGCUGGCGGCAUGCCUAACACAUGCAAGUCGAACGAGACCUUCGGGUCUAGUGGCGCACGGGUGCGUAACGCGUGGGAAUCUGCCCUUGGGUUCGGAAUAACAGUGAGAAAUUACUGCUAAUACCGGAUGAUGACUUCGGUCCAAAGAUUUAUCGCCCAAGGAUGAGCCCGCGUAGGAUUAGGUAGUUGGUGGGGUAAUGGCCUACCAAGCCGACGAUCCUUAGCUGGUCUGAGAGGAUGAUCAGCCACACUGGGACUGAGACACGGCCCAGACUCCUACGGGAGGCAGCAGUGGGGAAUAUUGGACAAUGGGCGAAAGCCUGAUCCAGCAAUGCCGCGUGAGUGAUGAAGGCCUUAGGGUUGUAAAGCUCUUUUACCAGGGAUGAUAAUGACAGUACCUGGAGAAUAAGCUCCGGCUAACUCCGUGCCAGCAGCCGCGGUAAGUAUCGUACG